GACGUGGGGGGCGAGCGUUGUCCGGAUUUAUUGGGCGUAAAGCGUGCGUAGGCGGCUGCGCAAGUCGGUUGUGAAACCCCGGGGCUCAACCCCGGAACUGCAUCCGAUACUGCGUGGCUAGAGGUAGGUAGGGGAGAUCGGAAUUCCUGGUGUAGCGGUGAAAUGCGCAGAUAUCAGGAGGAACACCGGUGGCGAAGGCGGAUCUCUGGGCCUUACCUGACGCUCAGGCACGAAAGCUAGGGGAGCGAACAGG
RNAcentral lists this ribosomal RNA (253 nucleotides) under uncultured bacterium. RNAcentral describes it as "partial 16S ribosomal RNA". It matches the Rfam family "Bacterial small subunit ribosomal RNA", at positions 524 to 776 of the family's 1533-position model. The record is from RNAcentral.